AGCGCUGCGAAUCGAAGUAGAAAGCUGCGUGACGAUCAACGAUGCGGUGAUGACCCCCGGCCAGACUGCGAUAAUAGCUUUCUUGGCUGUCCUUGGCGUCUUCGUUGGAGCUGGAACUAUCGUCGACAUCUACUUGUCAUAUAGAAAAACGACCGACAAAGGUGAACAGAAAACAUGGCUUAAGUGCGUCACCUCUUUCUCAGCGCUUCACAACACACGUGCUAUCUUCACCAUAGCACGCCCAAAACACGCUGGUGAAUUUGAUCUAACCUUCAUUCACGGACUGCGGUUCUUCAGCUUGGUAUCCAUUGUUCUUGGACACAGCUAUGGUGUCAUGUCUGACG
Dermacentor albipictus is the source of this 344-nucleotide non-coding RNA. The record is from RefSeq and is a predicted model, not a curated record. NCBI's taxonomy places the organism in Eukaryota, Metazoa, Arthropoda, Arachnida, Ixodida, Ixodidae.